Molecule: ribosomal RNA, 645 nt
Filed under: uncultured Aquificales bacterium
Lineage: Bacteria; Pseudomonadati; Aquificota; Aquificia; Aquificales
Description: bacterial SSU rRNA
Rfam family: Bacterial small subunit ribosomal RNA
Source: RNAcentral
UGAGGGGCGAAGGCCGGGGGAGCGAACCGGAUUAGAUACCCGGGUAGUCCCGGCAGUAAACGGUGGGCGCUAGGUGUGGGGAGUCUCGACCCUCCCCGUGCCGCAGGGAAACCAAUAAGCGCCCCGCCUGGGGAGUACGGGCGCAAGCCUGAAACUCAAACCAAUUGACGGGGGCCCGCACAAGCGGCGGAGCAUGUGGCUUAAUUCGAUGCUACCCGAAGAACCUUACCAGGGCUUGACAUGCUGGCUUAAGCCUGCCCGAAAGGGAGGGGUGGGACGGUUUCCGCCGUCCAGCCAGCACAGGUGGUGCACGGCUGUCGUCAGCUCGUGCCGUGAGGUGUCCGGUUAAGUCCGGCAACGAGCGCAACCCCCGCCACCAGUUGCCAGCGGGUAACGCCGGGCACUCUGGUGGGACUGCCCGCGUAAGCGGGAGGAAGGUGGGGAUGACGUCAAGUCCGCGUGCCCCUGAAGUCCUGGGCUGCACACAUGCUACAAUGCCCGCUACAAAGGGUUGCGAACCCGCGAGGGGGAGCGAAUCCCAAAAAAGCGGGCUCAGUUCGGAUCGCAGGCUGCAACUCGCCUGCGUGAAGGCGGAGUCGCUAGUAACCGCCGGUCAGCAAUACGGCGGUGAAUACGUUCCCGGGC